RNAcentral lists this ribosomal RNA (861 nucleotides) under Ogataea sonorensis. Its description in RNAcentral is "LSU rRNA". It matches the Rfam family "Eukaryotic large subunit ribosomal RNA", at positions 34 to 919 of the family's 3401-position model. Lineage: Eukaryota; Fungi; Ascomycota; Pichiomycetes; Pichiales; Pichiaceae. The record is from RNAcentral.
UUAAGCAUAUCAAUAAGCGGAGGAAAAGAAACCAACAGGGAUUGCCUUAGUAGCGGCGAGUGAAGCGGCAAGAGCUCAAAUUUGAAAUCUGGUACCUUCGGUGCCCGAGUUGUAAUUUGAAGAAAGCUAUCUUGGAUUUGGCCUUUGUCUAUGUUCCUUGGAACAGGACGUCACAGAGGGUGAGAAUCCCGUGCGAUGAGGUGUCCAUUUCUAUGUAAGAUGUUUUCGAAGAGUCGAGUUGUUUGGGAAUGCAGCUCUAAGUGGGUGGUAAAUUCCAUCUAAAGCUAAAUAUUGGCGAGAGACCGAUAGCGAACAAGUACAGUGAUGGAAAGAUGAAAAGAACUUUGAAAAGAGAGUGAAAAAGUACGUGAAAUUGUUGAAAGGGAAGGGUAUUAGAUCAGACUUGGUAUUUAGUUAUCAUUACUCCUUGUGGGUGGUGCUCUAGCUUUUUACUGGGCCAGCAUCAGUUUUGGUGACAGGAUAAUAGCAAUUGAAUGUGGCUCUUCGGAGUGUUAUAGCUUUUGUUGAUACUGUCUACUGGGACUGAGGUCUGCGGCUUUGCCUAGGAUGCUGGCGUAAUGAUCCAAUACCGCCCGUCUUGAAACAUGGACCAAGGAGUCUAACGUCUAUGCGAGUGUUUGGGUGUAAAACCCGUACGCGUAAUGAAAGUGAACGUAGAUCAGGGCCCGCAAGGGUGCACGAUCGACCGAUCCUGAUGUUUUCAGAUGGAUUUGAGUAAGAGCAUAGCUGUUGGGACCCGAAAGAUGGUGAACUAUGCCUGAAUAGGGUGAAGCCAGAGGAAACUCUGGUGGAGGCUCGUAGCGGUUCUGACGUGCAAAUCGAUCGUCGAAUUUGGGUAUA